GCCAGCGGGCUGUAGAGGUUUGAGCACUGGACUACAACUCUGGAGACCAGGGUUCAAAUCCCCACUUGGCC
Molecule: non-coding RNA, 71 nt
Organism: Phrynosoma platyrhinos (Desert horned lizard)
Lineage: Eukaryota; Metazoa; Chordata; Lepidosauria; Squamata; Phrynosomatidae
Source: the annotation of a GenBank genome assembly